UUGUGUAAUGCAGCUUCUUUGUUCUCGCUUUGUGUUCGUGUGGUUGUAUAAGCUUCUAAUUACGAGAAAUAGGAUAUUCAAAUGCCGAAUAAAAAUAAGAAAAUCGAUCCAAACUCUGACGAGGCAGAAGGCAGUAAAAAAGCUAGACGUCGUGAUCUAUAUAAAUGAAGCAAGCUAACAAAAAAGAGGUUGUCUUGGCGAGAACCCGAACCAAUAAAACUGAGUUGAGCAGACAACAUUUCGCUGCUGACUCAACCAUGUCUACAUCUUCCAUCAAGCAGCUAGAUUCUGCUGAACAACAUCGUAUUCUACGAGAGGGUUGCUUAUACCAAUUCGAAUUAGGUCAGAAAUCUAUAUUGAUAUUCCUAUAGAAAAAUACUGAUGCAUGAGCAUGGCGAGACUUCUUUGUCACUGUUUAAUGAGAUGGUGCAAUGUGGGGUCAAACCUAAUGAAGUCACUUUCACCUCGGUUUUGCAUGCUUGUGGUCAUGCUGGUUUGGUGGAUGUCGGUCUUUGUUUGUUUAAUUUUAUGCUUAGAAAUCACUCUGGUAGUAUUAGAACAGAUCAUUAUACCUGUAUGGUUGAUCUUCUUGGUCGAGCUGGCCGACUUGAUGAGGCAUAUGAACUUAUUAAAAUUAUGACUUUUGAACCAAGUCAUGGCAUCUGGGGUGCAUUACUUGGUGGCUGUGUGAUACAUGAAAAUAUGGAACUGGGAGAAUUGUCUGCAAGGUAGCUGUUUAAGCUGGAGCCAGAGAACAAAGGAAAUUAUAUACUGUUGGAAAAGAUCUAUUCUGCAGUUGGAGGGUGUAAAGAUGCAGAGAAUGUGCGACUUUUGAUGAAUGAAGUCGGACUGCUAAAGGCACCAGCUCAAAGUGUCAUUGGGUGACAAGUAGGUGAAUUCUUUUAGUUUCCUUGCAAAUAGAGCUAAACGAGGGCUGCAGGGUGAGGGUAACAUCUGAGAAAUAUACAACAAUACGACCAAAGCUAACCCUCUUAAGUCUCCGGUGGUGUUUAUAAUCUCCUCGAUUUUUGCUAUUGCAAUUAUAAUGUAGUUUCAACUCACAUGUGUUAGCUGGACAUUUCUAUUUUCUUCGUUGUUACCUUCUGCUCUUAAUUAUUUUUUCUGUCAUUUUGGUUUAUAUUUACUCAUGUUGUUUAAGUAAUUUCAUCAUAAAUACAACUGGUUUGCACUAAGGUAUAUAUUACGCUGAAACAAUGUUACAUCUCACUUCAAAAGAGAUCUACCACAUUCGCUGCAUUAAGGUAUAUAUUACGCCUGAUUAAAAUAAAAUGCAAUAUAAAUGCCUAUUGUUAACUAAUCUUUUGUCAUCCAUAAAAAUUCAAACAACUCCCCUAGAAACAAAUGCUGCCUCUUGCAAAUGUGACAAGACAAUUAACUGGAAAGACAUUUACCAUUCAAGUCAAAAAGUCAUUUGCUAAAACAAUGGAUAGAACUCCCGGAAAAUUAAUUAUCUUGUCAUAUGCGAAAAAAGAAAACAUCAUCAGUGCACCAUCAUCACCUGCUCCAUUGGACACAACAGGAAGCAGCAAAAGGAAGAUCGAAAAUCCUGUGACAAGCAAGAGGCCACUUCCCAUCACAAACAUGUUCUAGAGGUGAAGACUCCCCCUCCAAAACACUAUAACAAGUGAAAAGGCAUGUCGGCUCCACUUUGCAAUGUGAUUGGAGCCAUUUUUUGUCACUGUAGCAAGCAUAAUCAUAACGGAUCACUUUCCUUUUGCGUAUGUAAAUAAAAUGUACAUAGCUAUGUUAUAAAACUUGACUCCAACACUAAUAUAUAAUUUUUGGUUGUGUCACACUUGUUAUGUACUUAAUAUGCAAUCUUCAUAUAUGUAUCCCCUUGAAAUGUUGGGCCCGUGCUGGCACGGGCCAUCCACUUCUAGUCUAGUUACUACUUAUUAGAAGUGAGAGUUGAGGUGUACCAACAUUGCACUAUUAUAUUGUACAAAAGGGAUCAUGAAUUGUACUAUAU
This is a long non-coding RNA of Solanum tuberosum (potato), 1990 nucleotides long. RefSeq lists it as uncharacterized. The transcript has 3 exons. The record is from RefSeq and is a predicted model, not a curated record. Lineage: Eukaryota; Viridiplantae; Streptophyta; Magnoliopsida; Solanales; Solanaceae.